This is a non-coding RNA of Paramuricea clavata, 72 nucleotides long. The record is from the annotation of a GenBank genome assembly. NCBI's taxonomy places the organism in Eukaryota, Metazoa, Cnidaria, Anthozoa, Malacalcyonacea, Plexauridae.
GACUCGAUAGCUCAAUGGGUAGAGCGGCGGUAUAGAUACCCGAAGGUGCGAGUUCAAAUCCUGCUCGAGUCA